Molecule: transfer RNA, 86 nt
Filed under: Streptomyces kanamyceticus
Lineage: Bacteria; Bacillati; Actinomycetota; Actinomycetes; Kitasatosporales; Streptomycetaceae
Description: tRNA-Leu
Rfam family: tRNA
About the family: Transfer RNA (tRNA) molecules are approximately 80 nucleotides in length.
Source: RNAcentral
GCCGGGUUGGCGCAACGGUUGACGCGGAGGUCUCAAACACCUCUGUCCGAAAGGACAUGUGGGUUCGAAUCCCAUACCCGGCACCA